AAUUGGAGGCAAGGGGAUGAAAUAGAAAAGGCUCAUAUUUGAAUGAGAAAAUGGUCAGAGAGACUGAAAAGAUCUAACACCAAGUACUGCUUCCCACUGGUGGUUUUCUCAUUAGCACACUAUUGGAAAUAAAACUUGAAGACAAAGGCUAGCCACUAAAGUAGCAGAGAAUUUAAGUGUCUGCAGAUCAGGUGAAAAGCUCACUAGUGUUAUUGGGAGGUAAGAAUGAACACAAAGGGAGGUAAUGUCUUAAUUCAUAUAUAUAUUUCUGUGUGUAUAUAUGUGUGUGAAUACAUAUGUAAUUUAAUAUAUUAGAAAAGUGCAUGAGGAGUGUCUCUAUGAGUCUCCUUCAAUACUUAAAAUUUCUUUAAAGAAACAAAUUCAAGACCCAUUUAUUAGCUGUCCAUGUAUGGACAAAGAAGACACUCUUAGUUGCACUGAAUAAU
Non-coding RNA from Phalacrocorax carbo (great cormorant), 446 nucleotides. The record is from RefSeq and is a predicted model, not a curated record. Lineage: Eukaryota; Metazoa; Chordata; Aves; Suliformes; Phalacrocoracidae.